This 335-nucleotide ribosomal RNA is filed under the name uncultured Planctomycetales bacterium. Its description in RNAcentral is "bacterial SSU rRNA". It matches the Rfam family "Bacterial small subunit ribosomal RNA", at positions 473 to 806 of the family's 1533-position model. Lineage: Bacteria; Pseudomonadati; Planctomycetota; Planctomycetia; Planctomycetales. The record is from RNAcentral.
CGAAGGCUCCAAAGGAAGCCACGGCUAACUCUGUGCCAGCAGCCGCGGUAAUACAGAGGUGGCAAGCGUUGUUCGGAAUCAUUGGGCGUAAAGAGCACGUAGGUGGGUUUAUAAGUCAGAUGUGAAAGCCUUCUGUUCAACGGGAGAAUUGCAUCUGAAACUGUAAGUCUUGAGUAUAGGAGGGGAGAAUGGAACUUCUGGUGGAGCGGUGAAAUGCGUAGAUAUCAGAAGGAACGCCGGCGGCGAAAGCGAUUCUCUGGCCUAUUACUGACACUCAGUGUGCGAAAGCUAGGGGAGCAAACGGGAUUAGAUACCCCGGUAGUCCUAGCUGUAAA